AACGCGAAGAACCUUACCUGGGCUAGAAACGUGCGGACCCGGUAGAACAUCGGGGUGCUCUUCGGAGAACGCAUGGUUAGGUGCUGCAUGGCUGUCGUCAGUUCGUGUCGUGAGAUGUUGGGUUAAGUCCCGCAACGAGCGCAACCCCUAUCACUAGUUACCAACGGUUCGGCCGGGGACUCUAGUGAGACCGCCGAUAUUCAAAUCGGAGGAAGGUGGGGACGACGUCAAGUCAUCAUGGCCCUUAUGUCCAGGGCUACACACGUGCUACAAUGGUUGCCACAAAGCGCUGCAAACCCGCGAGGGGGAGCCAAUCGCAAAAAAGCAACCUCAGUACAGAUAAGAGUCUGCAACUCGACUCUUUGAAGUUGGAAUCGCUAGUAAUCGCUAAUCAGCAGGUAGCGGUGAAUACGUUCCCGGGCCUUGUACACACCGCUAGUC
Molecule: ribosomal RNA, 441 nt
Filed under: uncultured bacterium
Lineage: Bacteria
Description: bacterial SSU rRNA
Rfam family: Bacterial small subunit ribosomal RNA
Source: RNAcentral